CAGAGGAAGAAAGAGAAGCAGACUCUCCGCCAAGAUGGGAGCCCAAUGCGAGGCUUGAUCUGAGGACCCUGGGACCAUGACCUAAGCCGAAGGCAGCCACUUAACAGACUGAGCCACCCAGGGACCUCUCAGCUGUACUUCGGAGAUGGUCGCAGAGUCCAACUGCUCUUCACCAUCUGCAUCUCCAAACCCAGUCCCACCAUUAUGCUUUUUUGUGUAUUGCUGCGUUAGCCUCCUAAGCAGUCCUCCUGUGGUCUUUGUCCUGCUUCAGUCUGUUCUCAAUAUAAUCCGUAUAAUAUUUGUCACAGUGGUUAUUUUCACACUUGUGUUAGAGCACAUCGCUCAUUUAAAACCCUCCAAAGGCUUCCAAUGUCACUCCAGGCUAUCAGAUUUACUCGUUUCUGCCUGCAGCUUCUAGCCACAUUCUCUUAGCCUCUUCUAGUCCACUGAUGCCUGGGAAACCACACACAGGCGUCUAAGGACAGAACGUCUCAGAGAAACUCCAAGCAAUUUCUAUAACAGAUGAGCCUUUAUGGAUAGAUUCUGAGGCACCAUAUCAGCUACUCAUAGUCCUUUGAUUCUUUAUAUUUUGCUGUUUACAAUAUUAUAGUAUAAACAUAAAUAUUCCAGUUACA
Canis lupus familiaris (dog) is the source of this 635-nucleotide long non-coding RNA. RefSeq lists it as uncharacterized. NCBI's taxonomy places the organism in Eukaryota, Metazoa, Chordata, Mammalia, Carnivora, Canidae. The transcript has 2 exons. The record is from RefSeq and is a predicted model, not a curated record.